UUGGUCUAAAUUUUAUUGGCAUCCUGAAUUUUCGCAUUUUUGUAGAGUGAAUUAAGAAUCAAUGUUUGGAAUGUGAAAUUAUAAAUUAAAGGAAGCGAAAAAGUAAACAAAUUGUAAAACUGAUAAACAAAUUAGAUGCAAUGAUGCUACUGGGCGAAUGACUGGCAUUAAAAUAAAAUUGGCUUUAUGAGCCAUUCUUUGUGAUAAAUUUUAAGAAUACAUUUGUGUCUGGAAAGUUUGUGGCGAAAAAAAUUAUGUAGGUAUGUACUUGUGUUAAGAAAUAUGCACAGAAAAGUUUGAUCGCAAAACGUGCACUUGCCUUAGCUGGUGAUUGCGAAAAAGCAAAUUCUAAAUUUUUGCAAAUUAUCUGCAUAGUUUUGUGUAUAACAGCGAAAAGCCAAAAGCCGCAUUGCAAAGUGUUUGUGCAUUUUUUAGCGCCGCAGCGCAGCUGUAUAAAGUGCUAACGUGGAAAAAAGUACGCUUUGCUGCCUUGCCAAGUGCAAGCGAAACUGCGACGCGCUACAGCUGCUUUCGCUGUCGUCUGCUACGUUGGCGUUCCUUCGCGCUUUGUGUGUUUUUGCAAAUGCUAGACUGACUGCGCUGCUUUUUUUUGCCAAUGCAACUUUGCGAAAAUUCUUUGUGGCUGCAGAAAAAACGCUACGCUGGCAAUUUGUUGCAUAUUUACCUAUUCGUUUUGUUAUUAUUUAAUGCAAACAAUUAAUGGAAAAAAAUGUGUCGAUAUGUAACUUGUUGGGAAUUGUGUAAAAUAAAAAAGUUUUGUGUUUUUACAAUUAAAUGUGAUACAAAAAAUGAUAAAUGAGACACAAAAAAAUGAUGGAUUAGUGAGUGAUAAGAGCACAAAGUACAUAUGUAGCUAAAUGCGAUUUAAUUAAAGGAAGUUAAAAAAAGCGUGUGUGCGUGUAAAUUAAAUGCUUAUCUGCAUUACAUACAAAAAGAAAGGUGGAAAAUAUACACAAAUGUGCAAGAUAAGAUAAAAAGCAAGUGAAAAGUUGUGCGUAGAAAUAAAAAGCUACAGCGAAGCGGCGAGAAAUGCGAAAAACGCAGCAACCAAAAGAGCAACAAAAAAAAAGUGCGUUAAACAGUCUAAUCGGUAAAAAGGCGUAACUAAUAGCUUCCCGCUCCAACGACUGCUUCCAACUAAGAACGAUAUUUGAAGGUUAACAAAGAAGUCGAAGUUUUACGUUGAUGCCAAAAAUGUAGUUAGUGGUAAUAUACGGCUGCCAAGAAAUUUCAAAAAACAAUAAAAGAAAAAAGUAAAAAAUUUCACAAAAAUUUGUUUA
Molecule: long non-coding RNA, 1301 nt
Organism: Rhagoletis pomonella (apple maggot)
Lineage: Eukaryota; Metazoa; Arthropoda; Insecta; Diptera; Tephritidae
Exons: 3
Source: RefSeq, a predicted model, not a curated record